UAGUGGCGAACGGGUGAGUAACACGUGGGCAAUCUGCCCUUCACUCUGGGACAAGCCCUGGAAACGGGGUCUAAUACCGGAUAACACCUGCCCGGGCAUCCGGGUGGGUUAAAAGCUCCGGCGGUGAAGGAUGAGCCCGCGGCCUAUCAGCUUGUUGGUGAGGUAGUGGCUCACCAAGGCGACGACGGGUAGCCGGCCUGAGAGGGCGACCGGCCACACUGGGACUGAGACACGGCCCAGACUCCUACGGGAGGCAGCAGUGGGGAAUAUUGCACAAUGGGCGAAAGCCUGAUGCAGCGACGCCGCGUGAGGGAUGACGGCCUUCGGGUUGUAAACCUCUUUCAGCAGGGAAGAAGCGAAAGUGACGGUACCUGCAGAAGAAGCGCCGGCUAACUACGUGCCAGCAGCCGCGGUAAUACGUAGGGCGCAAGCGUUGUCCGGAAUUAUUGGGCGUAAAGAGCUCGUAGGCGGCUUGUCACGUCGGGUGUGAAAGCCCGGGGCUUAACCCCGGGU
This 513-nucleotide ribosomal RNA is filed under the name Streptomyces sp. 306E05. RNAcentral's name for it is "bacterial SSU rRNA". It matches the Rfam family "Bacterial small subunit ribosomal RNA", at positions 93 to 620 of the family's 1533-position model. Lineage: Bacteria; Bacillati; Actinomycetota; Actinomycetes; Kitasatosporales; Streptomycetaceae. The record is from RNAcentral.